AAAAUACUUGGCCAUUCCGUGUUACCCUGCUUACAUCAACAAUGUUUACCACAGAAGGAAUGGAGGGAAUAUGAACUUCCUUUCCAUUUUCUAGCAUUGUAGCAUUGUAUUUGUAAGGAAUAUCUUUACCUGAACUGUAAGGAAUUAGACCUGGUAAAUGAAUGACCAAGGGAUAAAUAGAGGAGUUCCGACUAUCAUAAGUAACCUCUAUGGGUUUAGGCGCAUUAAUCCGAGGGACU
This 239-nucleotide long non-coding RNA is filed under the name Lathyrus oleraceus (garden pea). RNAcentral describes it as "Pisum sativum (pea) long non-coding RNA (PSAT_LNC018070)". Lineage: Eukaryota; Viridiplantae; Streptophyta; Magnoliopsida; Fabales; Fabaceae. The record is from RNAcentral.